ACAACAACAACAACUAAGCCUUAUUGGUUCUCAUUUUUCAAUACCAACAAUCAUCAAGUUGAAUUUUGCUCCCAAAGAAAUCCUUUCGACUACUCAUAUUGGUUCUUUCUCUCACCCUCCUCUUCAAAAGAGGAAAAAAUAAAGGAAAAAGGACAGCAGGUAGGAUAUUUAUCAAGCCACUAACCAUCAUAUUCUUCAUAGGUAACAAAAACAGAGUUGGGUAAGUCCAAGCAAUAGAAAGAUGGUAGCAAACAUUUUGCAAAGAAAAAAAAUUCAAAAUGCAAUCAACAGAAGAAUAUUCACAUACUCUAUAGUAGCAUACAUCAAAUUUAACAAGCUUUCUGUAAUCAAAAGUUACAUGACAAAGAAUAUAAUCUCUCCUAUGUCACUAUGUCACUUUCUACUUUAAAUGCUCAACACUUUUUGCCGCAUCAUCAAUACUUCUGCACAAAGGCUAAAAGUCUUUUUCUCUACAAUUGAAGAGAAUUAUAGCGUUUCCUGCUUCCAGCAGCAUACUUCUGAAUCCAGACUGAAGUCUAUAGAACUUGAUAUCCACUUAGAUGUAAAUCAUAUCACUCAACUUUCUAUUAAUAGCUAAAUUAAAAUAACAUGUUUAUACAUUUCUUCUAAACUUCCACAAAUUUUGACACUUAUAAAUCAUAACCAAAACUAAACAUAAAUUACCUAACUAAAUUUCUAAGCAAUUUACAUGCUAAUUGUUGGGAAUCAAGUCCCACAUCAGGAGUCAACAAAAAUGAAAGGGUGAACAUAAGUGGUUUAGCUGCAACAAUGAAAAAGCUAGUCAUUUAGAUGUGUAAGCCAAUUUGAUCACUUAUAUAAGCCCAAAUCAAAAUGAAUUAAAAUGUAAUUUGACAAACACACAUUCUGAAUUUAACACUAAUUUUCCCACUUUCACCUCCUAUAACUGCUUUGCAAGGUAGCAACUGAUAGUUCAAUUGCACCAAGAAGCACAACUGCAGAUACGUAAAGUCAUCUGAGUAGAGCGAAGAUAACCAGAAAUAACCCAAAUAUCAAAGAUUUAUUUUGGUGUUUUACAAAAGAUCACCACCCAAAUUUAGCUUAUUCUCCUCCUCCUCUGCAAAAGUUGUUAUUUUUUUAUUUUUUGCCCGUUUCUCAUUGUCUU
This 1144-nucleotide unclassified non-coding RNA is filed under the name Hevea brasiliensis (rubber tree). The record is from RNAcentral. Lineage: Eukaryota; Viridiplantae; Streptophyta; Magnoliopsida; Malpighiales; Euphorbiaceae.